GGCUCAGGGAGGUGACAGGGUCACCAUCAUCAUCAUCGGUGACAAUGUGGCACCUCCAGGUGUCCUCAGUGUGCUGCAGUGUGACCCAGAGCACCUUGGUGAAUUCCUCCAGGUCCCUGUACAGGCGCUUUGGGCACUCGAGCAGCAUCUCGUCGUCCCACAUGGGCAGGGUGUCCAGCAGCUCACCCAGGGUGGCCACCACGGUGACCUGUGGCUGCAGCAGGGCCGGGGACAGCUGGGGAGGGGACAGGGGAGGUGUCAGGGACCUGGUGGCACUUGUGCUGUCCUGAGGUGGCCCCUUUGUCCCCCUCCCUGCCAGGCUCUGAUGCCCGUCUGUCCCUCCCUUGUCCCCUCUGCCACCUCCUGUCCCCUCUGCUGUCCCCUCAGCUGCCACCUCCUGUCCCCUCUGCCACCUCACUGCCCCCUCUCCCUUCCACGUGUCCUCUCUGUCCCAUUUCCCCGGCUCCGUCGCAGCUCUUGGGGCUCUAUGGUCACUGGGGACAUCUUGGGGACACCUUGGGGACACCUUGGGGAUGGUCUGGUGGCAAAGGAACCCCGGGACUGGCUCCGGUCCAGGCACAGAACCAGCCGCGGGAACGGCGCCAAGAACAUGGCGGAAUCGCCUCAGGAGGCGCUGGAGAGGCCCGAGCGGGAUCGGUAAGGGCCGGAAAGAACCGAGCGGGAUCGGGAAGCGCCGGAAAGAACCGAGCGGGAUCGGGAAGAGCCGGAAAGGCCCGAGCGGGAUCGGGAGGGGCCGGAAAGGCCCGAGCGGCUUCGGGAAGCGCCGGAAAGGCCCGAGCGGGAUCGGGAAGCGCCGGAAAGGCCCGAGCGGGUUCGGGAAGCGCCGGAAAGGCCCGAGCGGGAUCGGGAAGCUCCAUCCCAAGCUCCAUCCCCACUCAGGACACAUCGCUAUGGGGGGGAUGUCACCCCCCGUUUAUUUUGGAGACAUUUGGGGACAUUGUGGGACAAUGAGGGUCAUUGGGGGACAUUUUGGACAUUGGGGACAUUGGGAACACUGGGGACAUUUUGGACAUUGGGGGGACAUUUGGGAUACUGGGGAUAUUUGGGGACAUUUGGGGACAUUGGGGACAUGGAAAUGAAGGGGGAUAUUUGGGGACAUUUGGGGACUUUGGGGAUAUUUGGUGACACUAAGGACAUUGGGGAUUUUGGGGGACAUUUUGGACAUUGGGGACAUUUGGGGACACUUGGUGACAUCGGUGCCAUGGGUGUCACCUCCCCGCCGAGGGCCACAGGCGCUGGCAGAGCCCCCCGAUGACAAAGGCCACCAGGGCCAUCCCCGCCAUGUCCUCCAUGCUGGGCCCGGUGUCACCUGCGGGGGGACAGUGGGGACACGUCAGCGACACCCCCGGGUGGCACCGAGCCCGUCCUGGUGUCCCCAACCCUGUCCUGGUGUCACCAACCCUGUCCCUGUGUCACCAGCCUGUCCAUGAUGUCCCCAGCCUUGUCCCCAAUGUCCCCAAUUCCAUCCCACGUGUCCCCAACCCCAUUCCUGAUGUCCCCAACCCCGUUCCUGAUGUCCCCAACCCCGUCCUUGAUGUCCCUAACCUUGUCCCCAAUGUCCCCAACUCCAUUCCUGAUGUCCCCAACCCUGU
Molecule: long non-coding RNA, 1613 nt
Organism: Junco hyemalis (dark-eyed junco)
Lineage: Eukaryota; Metazoa; Chordata; Aves; Passeriformes; Passerellidae
Source: Ensembl